This 253-nucleotide ribosomal RNA is filed under the name uncultured bacterium. Its description in RNAcentral is "partial 16S ribosomal RNA". It matches the Rfam family "Bacterial small subunit ribosomal RNA", at positions 524 to 776 of the family's 1533-position model. The record is from RNAcentral.
UACGUAGGGUCCGAGCGUUGUCCGGAAUUACUGGGCGUAAAGCGUGCGUAGGUGGUUCGUUAAGUCUGAUGUGAAAGCCCUGGGCUCAACCUGGGAAUGGCAUUGGAUACUGGCGACCUAGAGUGCGGUAGAGGGGUGUGGAAUUCCCGGUGUAGCAGUGAAAUGCGUAGAUAUCGGGAGGAACAUCUGUGGCGAAGGCGACACCCUGGACCAGCACUGACACUGAGGCACGAAAGCGUGGGGAGCAAACAGG